Molecule: long non-coding RNA, 581 nt
Filed under: Homo sapiens (human)
Lineage: Eukaryota; Metazoa; Chordata; Mammalia; Primates; Hominidae
Description: long non-coding RNA NONHSAT237885
Source: RNAcentral
AGGAUCUCAGGAGAUGUGGAGGCUGGAGGCACAGGAGGCCAGGGAGGAGGGAGAAGCCUGGCGUCGCACUCCCACCACGCUGGGGUAGGAGGGCAGGGACACCUCCGACAAAGGACCCUGUGAGAGUUAUGAAAGCGGAGUUGCCUCUGUACCAGCCCCCCACCCUGAGAGGAGUUCACUGCAGUAAAAAUGGUGAGAGAAAUGGUGGGCCAAGAAAGGAGUGGUCUCGCUGCCUCUGCCACUCCCACUCCUCCCAUGGGCACCAAAUUGGGUCUAGCGUCUCGGGUUCGAGGCUCCACUCUUCCCACAGCAUCCUUGACAGCUAAGGGCACCGCUGGGUUUCCGCUUCCGAAACCAGGCAAGUCAGGGGCUGGUCCAGCUGAUCUCCAAGGUCCUUCCUAAGAAUCUGGGAUCUGGAGGAUCCCAGGGUCGAACGGAGACGGCUCAGGGGGUGCGGCUAAAAUGCAAAUGGGGGAUCCUCCCCAGCACCCAUCGGUCCCAAAGAGAAGGUAACCCAUAGCUGAGCGUCGCCUGCUCCCCUCGGGCCCUCCCGUGGCCCUCCGUUUCAUACUGGUCUCAUC